RNAcentral lists this ribosomal RNA (500 nucleotides) under Daldinia loculata. RNAcentral describes it as "eukaryotic LSU rRNA". The stretch from base 164 to 317 matches the Rfam family "5.8S ribosomal RNA". The record is from RNAcentral. Lineage: Eukaryota; Fungi; Ascomycota; Sordariomycetes; Xylariales; Hypoxylaceae.
GAACUCCCAACCCUUUGUGAACCUUACCGUCGUUGCCUCGGCGGGCUGUACUUACCCUGUAGCUACCCUGUAGCUACCCGGUAGGUGCGCUCCAAGCCCGCCGGUGGACCACUAAAUUCUAUUUUACUACUGUAUCUCUGAAUGCUUCAACUUAAUAAGUUAAAACUUUCAACAACGGAUCUCUUGGUUCUGGCAUCGAUGAAGAACGCAGCGAAAUGCGAUAAGUAAUGUGAAUUGCAGAAUUCAGUGAAUCAUCGAAUCUUUGAACGCACAUUGCGCCCAUUAGUAUUCUAGUGGGCAUGCCUAUUCGAGCGUCAUUUCAACCCUUAAGCCUAGUUGCUUAGUGUUGGGAAUCUGCCCUGUAUUUAUAGGGCAGUUCCUUAAAGUGAUCGGCGGAGUUAGGGCAUACUCUAAGCGUAGUAAUAUUCUUCUCGCUUCUGUAGUUGUCCUGGCGGCUUGCCGUUAAACCCCUAUAUUUCUAGUGGUUGACCUCGGAUUAG